GGAGUGGUGGCCGAGUGUUUUAAGGCGCCUGUCUCAUAAACAGGUAGACGUCGCAAGGCGUUUCAUGGGUUAGAAUCCCAUCCACUCUU
This 89-nucleotide transfer RNA is filed under the name Candidatus Edwardsiibacteriota bacterium. RNAcentral's name for it is "tRNA-Met". It matches the Rfam family "tRNA". Rfam says of the family: Transfer RNA (tRNA) molecules are approximately 80 nucleotides in length. Their secondary structure includes four short double-helical elements and three loops (D, anti-codon, and T loops). The record is from RNAcentral. Lineage: Bacteria; Candidatus Edwardsiibacteriota.